GAGAGUGCAUGUCCAUCAAGGUCACGCUUGAGACUAGCAGAGGCGAAACCAGCGGGAAGACGACUUCGCCACCAAGGGCCGGCGGGCCUGCUGGGAUACUCCGGGUGAGUGGGACGCACUGGGCGGGGUUUCGCCGUUCCGAGGAUGUCGGGGAAGGGGGGUCACUGCCAGAUGGAGGUUCCGGUUCCGGUGCAGUGUCUGGCUGGUUGCGUUGCUACGGCAGCGCGGUUGAGCGCUCUCGUCUGUGUGAUCGGGGCUUCGCUGACUUUCCGGCCUACUUAAGCCCCUGGGCCUGGGCCCAGGAAGGGUUUGUUGAACCGGGAGCUAAGAAGGGAAUUGGCUCGUUCGACAGACGUCUUCUGCGCAGCUGUGGCGUGCAAGGCACGGGGCCGGUGCGGGACCUCCAGAGAGACCUGUGCCCAAAGCUUGAGAAAUGAGAAGCAGAUUCCUGGAUUCCAGGUAAAUCAGAGGAACAAACCUGAACAGAAAUAUACAGGAAGUGAUGUGAUGCUGAAGCUUAACGCUUAUUUCAGAAGUCUGGUAUCUGGUGCUCUUAACAGCAGAAACUAUAUUAUUUGCAAAAUCACCACGCUUUUACUUGUAUUAUAUAGUAAUUUUUUAAAAAAUAAAUAUUGACAAUUUGUCCUUGAAA
This 652-nucleotide long non-coding RNA is filed under the name Sus scrofa (pig). RNAcentral describes it as "lncRNA (ENSSSCG00060036310.1)". The record is from RNAcentral. Lineage: Eukaryota; Metazoa; Chordata; Mammalia; Artiodactyla; Suidae.